This is a long non-coding RNA of Felis catus (domestic cat), 1598 nucleotides long. RefSeq lists it as uncharacterized. The record is from RefSeq and is a predicted model, not a curated record. The transcript is spliced from 3 exons. Lineage: Eukaryota; Metazoa; Chordata; Mammalia; Carnivora; Felidae.
GGGAGGGGGCCUGUCCAGAAGGGUGUAGGGCCCCACCCCCAGCUAGAGGCUCUGGAGAGUGGAGGAGGGACGCCCACGGCCACAGGCCUGGCCAGCAGCUGGGUGCCGUGCAAUGGUCAGGUGCCAGCCAGUGGGAGAAGGGGGAGGAUGGUGGCCGGGGCUAGGGAGGGUCCAGAACCUCCAGAGGAGGAAGACCCCAUGACCACCAGAGGCCGGGGGGCCUUCCCUGGGAACAGGGCCACAUGUGGGAUCUGGAGGACACAGGGGCAGCAGCGGGCAAAGCCACAGCAAACAAAGACACCCCACGGCACGCCCAGGGUGAUGGGCGUGCCCGUAGCACAUUCCCAUUCGUCACCAUCGUGACGCUCCCGGCCACCCAGAGCAAGGAUUACCAGCAAACCCGUUCCGCCCGCGAGGUUUAAGGUGCCCAGGCUCCUGAAGUCCCCGGCGGCAGGUCCCCUGGCUCGUCCCCACUCGUCCAGCAAAGGCAUGACCUGCCCAAGCACGCACAGUCGAGAUUCCACACUACGGUUCUUAACCUUCUGAGGGUCACGAUGUUCCCUGAUAAGCUGGUCCUCUCCCCACAGACACACAGAGGCACACACACAGUGCUGUCACCAAGCCCCAUGACGUCCCCCGCCAGGGAGGACCUUGCUGAGGCACGCUGAGGGAGAAGCAGCUGACUUCUCUUGCUAUACAUCAGGAUCUGUCUCAGGAGGGAGUGAGCUCCCUGUUGCCACAGGCAGCCUAACUAUGUGUCCAAGACCCUCUGUCCAAGACCCCCUGCCAGUCAGGGGUCUCAGCUGCCUGCCCCCCAGGUGAGACGACUGUAGCUCUGGGAAAGGCACUUGACCUGCCCCAGGUCACUCAACUCGGGGACGAUCCGUUGACUUGUGGCCUGAGGUUCUGGGCAGUGAGAAGAGGGAAUCACAGGAAGAAAGUGCAACGUAAGAGGGAAGAGGAGAGGAGGGCGGACAGGCUGAGAGCAGGAGCCACUGGCCUGGCCACCUCCCAGCUCCGAACCCACAGGCAUUGCUGCGAAAAACAGACUGUCACCUGGUGGCCGCAGAUACCGGGACAACCCUUCCAGAAAACACUGUGGUAAGGGGUAUUAAGGACAUAAAAACAUCUAAGCCCUCUCCCCGGGGAUCACCCUUACAGGAAUUCAUCCCGAGGAACACCCAGAGGAAGGAAAAAGGUCUUGGUCACAGUAUUUGCUUUGCUGCAGCCUUACUUGUAAUAAAAAAUAAACAAAAUGCCUCCCGAGUCAGAGGUAACCAGACUAUUCUGUCAGCGCAGUCACAUCCACGCACAUCACGGGAAAAUGCUUGCGGUAACAUCAGAGAAUGUGUCAGACGCCGUGUUGAGUGAAAGCACCCACACGCCACCUCCCUGUUGCUACGAAGUUAUCUGUGCAAAUGCGUUUUUCAGGACCACGCGUCAGAAGGGCCACGGACCGGUCGGCCCUCCCACCGCUCAGACGUGACCCUCUCGGACUGCGACGUCUGGUCUGGGAUGGGGGUGAUCACUGUACCUGUGAGGCCGUGAGGCUUGGCCAGGUCUGUUCCAGAAGAACAUUCACGGACUCGGACGCCGGG